UUAGAAUAGAAUAGAAUAGAAUUUCUUAGAAUAGAAUUUUCUAUUCUAAGAAAAUAUACUGCAGGCGGGGCACAGAGGCUUACGCCUGUAAUCCCAGCACUUUGGGAGGCCAAGGCAGGAGGAUUGCUUGAGCCCAGGAGUUGGAGAUCAGCCUGGGCAACAAAAAAUAAGUGAGACCCCUGUCUACAAAAAAUAAAAACGGAGUGAAAAUACGUACUGUAAUAUGAAAAGUUACACAAAUUAAGAAUAUAGCAUAGUACUGAGAAUAUGAAAGCAAUCUAGUCAGUAUUUAAUUAUGAAAAUAAAUUUUGGCGGCUGGGUGUGGUAGCUCAUGCCUAUAGUCGCAGCACUUUGGGAGGCUGAAGUGGGCGGAUCACGAGGUCAGGAGAUCAAGACCAUCCUGGCUAACACGGUGAAACCCCAUCUGUACUAAAAAUACAAAAAAAAAAAAAAAAAUUAGCUGUGGUGUCAGGUGCCUGUAGUCCCAGCUACUUGGGAGGAUGAGGCAGGAGAAUGGCGUGAACCCAGGAGGCAGAGCUUGCAGACUGCGCCACUGCACUCCAGCCUGGGCGACAGAGCGAGACUCCAUCUCAAAAAAAAAAAAAAGAAAAAAGAAAAAAAGAAAAGAAAAGAAACUGUGGCAUAUAAGUUUUAUAGGAAAUAGUGCAACCAGUAAAACAUUUUAUAAUGUAUUUCAUAUGCUAGUGUAAUGAACGCAGCAAAGAACAUGUUACGUACUUGACAGACUAUGAUGAUAAAAUUAUGAGAAAUCUUUUGAAGGAAUACAACAGAGCAAAACAUCUGUUUUUAAAAAUUAUCAUUGUGUAUUAUGAAUAUUAAACAAAUGUUUGUGAUUUAUAUGUGAAACAAUGUCUUUUUACUGCUUUCUUGUUUUCCCAAAAGUUGAGUUACCAUUCCAAUUUGAAAUGGACUGUGCACACGCUUCAUUUAGUACUUUUGUAAACUGUGUUUAUAAUCUGACAGCAGCCUGUGAAAUUCAUAAGAAUCCCAUAGGAUGUAAGUCUCCAUGAUGGUAUGCCAAUUACAGAAAUUAGGUUGGUCUGUGUCUUUGUUACUAACAAAAAUAGCUAUAGCAGUGGCCUUCGGAGAUGUAGAGUCUGGGAAAACUUGAUCUUACUGUCAGGCUCUGGCACUGCUUUUACAGUUAUAGCCCUGAUGAGAGCUAUCAGUAGGGAAGAUAAUUUAUGGAGAAAUUUAAUUUUGCUAAAAGAGAUAAAAGUUUAUGCUCAUAACCCUAAUGUAGUUUUUAUCCAUUAUGAGGCCACAAACUCUUUGAGAAUCUGCUGAAAUCUCUAUUAAGAAACUGCCAAAGAGCAUACACAAAAUUUGCAUGCAAUUUCAGGGAAGGUCUUCACCCCAGUUCCCACACUACCCCCUAUCCUCCAUUAUUCCCUCAGACUUAGAAUGUCAGUCCUAAUAGAAAUUAUUAUAUCUACAGGUUCGAGAAAUGGCUGCUACUACGUUAAGCGGUCUGCUACAGUGUAACUUUCUUACCAUGGACAGUCCUAUGCAGAUUCAUUUUGAGCAACUUUGCAAAACAAAACUACCUAAGAAAAGAAAGCGAGACCCUGGUUCUGUAGGAGAUACCAUUCCUUCUGCAGAGUUGGUCAAACGCCAUGCUGGGGUGCUAGGACUUGGUGCAUGUGUUCUUUCUAGUCCUUACGAUGUUCCCACCUGGAUGCCCCAGCUCCUCAUGAAUCUCAGUGCACAUCUAAAUGAUCCUCAGCCUAUUGAGAUGACUGUAAAAAAAACCUUAUCCAAUUUCCGAAGGACUCACCAUGACAACUGGCAGGAACACAAACAGCAAUUCACUGAUGACCAACUGCUUGUUCUCACCGAUCUUCUUGUGUCACCAUGCUAUUAUGCAUAGAAAGGUAAGUCAGCAAAGUUCUGAAUUUACAUUGGUUUGGUGACUGAGAACUAGAUAUUUAUUGUUUUUUUUCUUUUUGCUGACAUUCUUAGAGGUCAGUGUUUAGAUAAAGUUGGAUGGUGGGGAUUGUUUGUUUUUAAACAUGGCUUUUGCUACGGCCAUUGGAAAUGAGAAUUUUGCUGUGCCUCCUUGCUUUAGGUUUAAAGCAGAGAAAAUGUGUGACUGCUUUUGGACCUUUGUAAAUGAGUGGUGUCAGUAGCCUGGGAAUAGUUAAAGGAAAAUAAAUCUUAUUCUCAGUUGCCUCCUGGAUGGGGCUGGGACAUUUUGUGUGGCCCUGAGGACUCUGGGUUCUAAAAGUUGUGAGAACAUUUGAUCUGGAUUCUUACACCCAUUCUGUUAAAGAGGGAGCACCCAGAAGCCUUUCUACUGGAAUAGGAAGAAUAAAAAUUUCAUUUAUUAGGCUUUUAGAGUUGGAUGUCUUGUUAUCUAAUUGAAAUUUUUUCCUCCCUGAUACAGAUGACUAGUCCUCACUUCAGGCUCUUUUCAUCAAAAAUUCCACACCCUCAGGUACCAUCUGUGGUGGCUCUCUGCAAGUUUUAAAAUUGCCUCUGCUGAGCUCUCAUCAUUUUGGUGGUUUCUGUGUUAGAUCUCGUUAGUCUGCAUUCCACAGCUUCUCAGUUGCCAUUUGAUUUCCCAACUUGUCCGGAAGUGUUUCCAGAAUACUGAUCACUUUUUUUUUUUUGAGGCAUCUGACAAAGUCACAAAGUCUCAGACUAGAAAUAAUUACCCAGUAUGAUCAUGGCAUCCAAGACCAGAGUCUCGGAACUCAUUAAGAAACAGUUUACUUGGAAUGGAGAAUACCCAUCUGUAAUACAGGUCCUGUCAUUUCAUUCAUCUCAAAUUGAAUUCUUCCCAAAUGGCUGCUGGAUUUAGAUGGUAGUAGGGCUGUGGGCCAUAAAUCUGAAGCCUUGAGAACCGUGGGUCUGGAGAGUCAUGAAGAGGGAAGGCAAAGAGGGCAAGUCCUGAACCUAACCAGUGACCUGAUGGAUUGCUCGACCAAGACACACAAGUGAAGUCUGUGUCUGUGCACUUCCCACAGACUGGAGUUUUUGGUGCUGAAUAGAGCCAGUUGCUAAAAAAUUGGGGGUUUGGUGAAGAAAUCUGAUUGUUGUGUGUAUUCAAUGUGUGAUUUUAAAAAUAAACAGCAACAACAAU
This 3106-nucleotide small RNA is filed under the name Pongo abelii (Sumatran orangutan). RNAcentral describes it as "retained intron". Lineage: Eukaryota; Metazoa; Chordata; Mammalia; Primates; Hominidae. The record is from RNAcentral.